AGUGAACGCUGGCGGUAGGCCUAACACAUGCAAGUCGAACGGCAGCACAGUAAGAGCUUGCUCUUACGGGUGGCGAGUGGCGGACGGGUGAGGAAUACAUCGGAAUCUACUUUUUCGUGGGGGAUAACGUAGGGAAACUUACGCUAAUACCGCAUACGACCUACGGGUGAAAGCAGGGGAUCUUCGGACCUUGCGCGAUUGAAUGAGCCGAUGUCGGAUUAGCUAGUUGGCGGGGUAAAGGCCCACCAAGGCGACGAUCCGUAGCUGGUCUGAGAGGAUGGUCAGCCACACUGGAACUGAGACACGGUCCAGACUCCUACGGGAGGCAGCAGUGGGGAAUAUUGGACAAUGGGCGCAAGCCUGAUCCAGCCAUACCGCGUGGGUGAAGAAGGCCUUCGGGUUGUAAAGCCCUUUUGUUGGGAAAGAAAAGCAGCAGGUUAAUACCCCGCUGUUCUGACGGUACCCAAAGAAUAAGCACCAGCUAACUUCGUGC
Molecule: ribosomal RNA, 493 nt
Filed under: uncultured bacterium
Lineage: Bacteria
Description: partial 16S ribosomal RNA
Rfam family: Bacterial small subunit ribosomal RNA
Source: RNAcentral